GACGAACGCUGGCGGCGUGCUUAACACAUGCAAGUCGAGCGGUAAGGCCCUUUCGGGGGUACACGAGCGGCGAACGGGUGAGUAACACGUGGGUGACCUGCCCUCAGCUCUGGGAUAAGCCUGGGAAACCGGGUCUAAUACUGGAUAUGACUCCAUGACGCAUGUUGUGGGGUGGAAAGCCUUGUGCGGCUGAGGAUGGGCCCGCGGCCUAUCAGCUUGUUGGUGGGGUGAUGGCCUACCAAGGCGACGACGGGUAGCCGGCCUGAGAGGGCGACCGGGCCACACUGGGACUGAGACACGGCCCAGACUCCUACGGGAGGGCAGCAGUGGGGAAUCUUNCGGCAAUGGGCGAAAGCCUGACGCAGCGACGCCGCGUGAGGGAUGA
This 385-nucleotide ribosomal RNA is filed under the name uncultured bacterium. RNAcentral describes it as "bacterial SSU rRNA". It matches the Rfam family "Bacterial small subunit ribosomal RNA", at positions 28 to 411 of the family's 1533-position model. The record is from RNAcentral.